UGGGUUCGAGCCCCACGUUGGGCG
This 24-nucleotide non-coding RNA is filed under the name Drosophila melanogaster (fruit fly). Lineage: Eukaryota; Metazoa; Arthropoda; Insecta; Diptera; Drosophilidae. The record is from RNAcentral. RNAcentral also lists the same sequence under 6 other names.